AGAGUUUGAUCCUGGCUCAGAUUGAACGCUGGCGGCAUGCCUUACACAUGCAAGUCGAACGGUAACAGGUCUUCGGAUGCUGACGAGUGGCGAACGGGUGAGUAAUACAUCGGAACGUGCCCGAGAGUGGGGGAUAACGGAGCGAAAGCUUUGCUAAUACCGCAUACGAUCUACGGAUGAAAGCAGGGGACCGCAAGGCCUUGCGCUCAUGGAGCGGCCGAUGGCAGAUUAGGUAGUUGGUGGGAUAAAAGCUUACCAAGCCGACGAUCUGUAGCUGGUCUGAGAGGACGACCAGCCACACUGGGACUGAGACACGGCCCAGACUCCUACGGGAGGCAGCAGUGGGGAAUUUUGGACAAUGGGCGCAAGCCUGAUCCAGCCAUGCCGCGUGCAGGAUGAAGGCCUUCGGGUUGU
This 414-nucleotide ribosomal RNA is filed under the name uncultured bacterium. RNAcentral's name for it is "bacterial SSU rRNA". It matches the Rfam family "Bacterial small subunit ribosomal RNA", at positions 8 to 426 of the family's 1533-position model. The record is from RNAcentral.